RNAcentral lists this ribosomal RNA (253 nucleotides) under uncultured bacterium. RNAcentral's name for it is "partial 16S ribosomal RNA". It matches the Rfam family "Bacterial small subunit ribosomal RNA", at positions 524 to 776 of the family's 1533-position model. The record is from RNAcentral.
UACAGAGGUCUCAAGCGUUGUUCGGAUUCAUUGGGCGUAAAGGGUGCGUAGGUGGCGCCAUAAGUCAGGUGUGAAAUCUCGGGGCUCAACUCCGAAACUGCACUUGAUACUGUGGUGCUCGAGUACUGGAGAGGAGAUUGGAAUUUACGGUGUAGCAGUGAAAUGCGUAGAUAUCGUAAGGAAGACCAGUGGCGAAGGCGAAUCUCUGGACAGUUACUGACACUGAGGCGCGAAGGCCAGGGGAGCAAACGGG